UCAAAUUGCUGCAAAAUCAAUAAACUACAUAAUAUUAAGAAAAUUGUAGCCAAGGUAGUUUUUGUAAAGUGUAUGUAGAGGAAGCAGUAGGAAUUGUUAAGGGAUUUUCGGUGUUCAAGAAAUUUUAUGUUUACUUCAAUCAGGGGAUAUUUGUUUCAUCAUAGAUGGUACCAAUUCCUUGUAAGUAAUGGAGUAUUCAUAUCAUGUUGUGAUGGAGUUCAUCGUAAACAGAACUCUCUGGAGAAUAAAAAAUAUUUCUUCAGAGAAUCAGGUAAUGUUACCUUUUCAUUCCUGACCCCAGAUCUGUUCUAGAUAGCACAAAAUAAGGUUUUGUGACUAUCACAUAUUGAAAAUAAACUGGAAUUGUGGUACUGUGUCCUGGUUCCAGCCAGGACAGGGUUAAUUUUUACAAUAGCCAGGAGGGGGCAUGGCCAGGCCCCAGAGGUUAUUCUAUACCACUUCAUGUCAUUUUUGGGGGGGGAGAGUGGAAGGGGUGGAAAAGGAGUCUGUUCCUGGGAGAAGGGGUUCCUUCCAGGUCAGAGUAGCUUGGUGGAGUGAUUGCGAAUUGUUGUUUCCACGUGAAUCACUCCUUUCUUGUACCCUCUGUCAUUAGUAUUGUUGCUGUUACUGUUCAUUUUCUUAUCUCAUUGCUGUUUUCAGUAAAUUGCUCUUAUUUCGACCUGAUCUUUACCAAUUCUCCUCUCCAUCUUGCAGGGGAGGGGGAGGCGGGGAAGGAGCAAGUGAGCGGCGCAGUUUCAGUCAGAGCACUAAAUUGGAGAGUACCAUUCCUAAACUACGACACACUGAACUGCAGUGUAAAGGAGCAGAUGUUUUGCAAAACAUCCUGAUGUGUUGCUUUUUCUUGUGGGAGUGCAUAACUGUUCCUUCUGAUGCAUCGACUUGACAGCUGGUUGAUUUCAUGGAACUGCUAAGAAGCCAUUAGUGGUGUCAUUGAAUUGAAACAGAACAGUGGCUCCCAGCUUGAACUGCAAUUGUUAACGUCUUUGUUGCUACUUUUCUCUUCCUAUGCAAAAUGUGGAAUAUCAUAGUUGCAGAUAAAAAGAAGUUUGUGCUCCCUGUCUGAUAUCCCUGAAUGAAGGAAAGGAGGCAUUAGUACCUGA
Molecule: long non-coding RNA, 1121 nt
Organism: Corapipo altera (White-ruffed manakin)
Lineage: Eukaryota; Metazoa; Chordata; Aves; Passeriformes; Pipridae
Exons: 2
Source: RefSeq, a predicted model, not a curated record